AUGCACGUUCCUCUCCCGCGGCCAUGUUAACCAGGAAACCUUCGGCCGCCGCUCCUGCCGCCUACCCGACCGGCCGAGGAGGGGACACCGCCGUUCGCCAGCUUCAGGCUUCCCCGGGGAUCGGCGCCGGGGCUCCCCGAAGCGGAGUGGGGACCGGCCCGCCCUCUCCCAUCGCCCUGCCGCCUCUCCGGGCCAGCAACGCUGCCACCGCAGCCCACACGAUUGGCGGCGGGAGGCACACCAUGAAUGACCACCUCCACAUCAGCAGCCACAGCCACGGGCAGAUCCAGGUUCAGCAGCUGUUUGAGGAUAACAGUAACAAAAGGACAGUGCUUACAACACAGCCAAAUGGGCUUACGACAGUGGGCAAGACAGGCUUGCCUGUGGUGCCAGAGCGGCAGCUGGACGGCAUUCACAGACGGCAGGGGAGUUCCACCUCUCUGAAGUCCAUGGAAAGCAUGGGGAAGGUGAAAGCCACCCCCAUGACGCCGGAACAAGCGAUGAAGCAAUACAUGCAAAAACUCACGGCCUUUGAACACCAUGAGAUCUUUAGCUACCCUGAAAUAUAUUUCUUGGGUCCAAAUGCUAAGAAGCGCCAAGGCAUGACAGGUGGACCCAACAACGGUGGUUAUGAUGAUGACCAGGGAUCAUAUGUGCAGGUGCCCCAUGAUCAUGUGGCUUACAGGUAUGAGGUCCUCAAGGUCAUUGGGAAGGGGAGCUUUGGGCAGGUGGUCAAGGCCUAUGACCACAAAGUCCACCAGCAUGUGGCCCUGAAGAUGGUGCGCAACGAGAAGCGCUUCCACCGGCAGGCGGCGGAGGAGAUCCGCAUCCUGGAGCACCUACGGAAACAGGAUAAGGACAACACCAUGAACGUCAUCCACAUGCUGGAGAAUUUUACUUUCCGCAACCACAUAUGCAUGACGUUUGAGUUGCUGAGCAUGAACCUCUACGAGCUCAUUAAGAAGAAUAAGUUCCAGGGCUUCAGCCUGCCUCUGGUGCGCAAGUUUGCUCACUCGAUUCUGCAAUGCUUGGAUGCGCUGCACAAAAACAGAAUAAUCCACUGUGACCUUAAGCCCGAGAACAUUUUGUUAAAGCAGCAGGGUAGAAGCAGUAUUAAGGUGAUUGACUUCGGCUCCAGUUGUUAUGAGCACCAGCGUGUUUACACGUACAUCCAGUCGCGCUUUUACCGGGCUCCGGAAGUGAUCCUUGGAGCCAGGUAUGGCAUGCCCAUUGAUAUGUGGAGCCUGGGUUGCAUCCUUGCGGAACUCCUGACGGGUUACCCCCUAUUGCCUGGGGAGGAUGAAGGGGACCAGCUAGCUUGUAUGAUUGAACUUUUGGGCAUGCCCUCCCAGAAACUCCUGGAUGCUUCCAAACGAGCCAAGAAUUUCGUGAGCUCCAAGGGUUACCCCCGCUACUGCACUGUCACGACUCUUUCAGAUGGCUCCGUGGUCCUCAAUGGAGGCCGAUCCCGGAGAGGGAAACUGAGGGGUCCGCCAGAGAGCAGAGAGUGGGGGAACGCACUGAAGGGAUGCGAUGAUCCUCUUUUCCUUGACUUCUUAAAACAGUGUUUGGAGUGGGAUCCCGCAGUCCGCAUGACCCCGGGCCAGGCUCUGCGGCACCCCUGGCUCAGGAGGCGUUUGCCAAAGCCUCCGACCGGGGAGAAGACGGCGGUGAAGAGGGUCACGGACAGCACUGGUGCUAUCACGUCGAUUUCCAAGUUACCUCCACCUUCCAGCUCAGCUUCCAAGCUGAGGACUAAUUUGGCACAGAUGACAGAUGCCAAUGGGAAUAUUCAGCAGAGGACAGUGUUGCCAAAACUCGUUAGCUGAGCUCCAGUCCCCUAAUGCUGGCAAGCUGAAAAAUGCGUUAUAGCUGAGCCUUAUUGGGUUGAAAAGUGUAGCUCAGACCUGUUUUUAUUUGCUCAAAAAACUCGACUCAUUUGUAUCUUUUCAGCACUUGAUGUAAGACAGUUUGUUUUGUUUUUAUAAAAUACAUGGGGACAAUGCUUUAAGUUUUUAUACUUUCUCAAACUGUUUCUUCCCCCUUCCUUGUGUUCUAAAAGUAAGAUGAGCCUUACUGUAUUUCGUGUGGCUGAGUGAUCAUCAUAUCAGUGGCAGGCCAUUGUUUUUUUUCAUGACUGCCACACAUUUACAGAUUGGUCAAACACAUUCACGAUGUUUUCAUGGUUCGUCCUCUAUGCUCCCCAGGGAGGUGGCCCCCAGGGACCCUCCUUCUCUCUUUGUGCUCCGGGUUCACACAGGAGCUGCACACCCUGCUUCCAAAUUCUGUAAAUUAACCUGGGUCAGAGCGGAAGUGGAAGAAGGGUCAGUGUGAAAAUCUCUAGGAAAAGCUGCACUUUAGAGAUUGUCUUUUUUUCUUAUGGUGUAUUCAGAUGAUUACAAACUAGAUUGCCCAGGUUUUAACUGCCCACGUAACAUUCUGACGUUCUGCAGCCACCAGGCAACGUUUAGUAGCUAAGUAGAAAUUGAGAUGUGUGAAUUCCUCCCAAGGCUCUGGGAAGAUGGCAAGCUGUCAUAAUCAGGAAGCCGCCUGAUUUUAGGACGUUUCCCCACUGUUCCGUUUCCCUUUCUCUUGUCUCUGCCCUCUUUUUGUCACACAUCUGUCCCUUGCAUGUAGUGCGUCCUUUUCCUCCAGCUGUCCAUCCCGGACUGGUAAUGCAGAGAGCCAUCUCAGCUGCUAUUAUGUCCAGAGUUUCAUGCCUCAGUUUCCAAAAGAACAUUGGCCUAGCUACCUAAGGGGGAUUUCCAUAGUUCCAAAGAAGGUUUAGCCGGCUGGACUGAGUUCACACUGUAGGCGUCGCUGAGGUUCCCUCAGCCUGGGAAAACAUCAACUCUCCUUAGAAAGCAAAAGGGUUGAAAAUCCUCUUGGCAAAGAGAAGUCACUGUGGCCAUUCAGUUGGGCCAGUUUUAACAACACAUUGAAGGGAGGAGAAAUUCAAUCUCGAGUUAAAUGGUUUGACUUAUUCUUUGAUUUGUUAGAAGAGCCAUGGAAACUGCAUCCCUCUGUUUACUUACUUUCUUUUUGGAUUGCACUGAAUGUUUUUGUGGGGAUGACACUUUACCUGAAAGAGUAACUGAGAGUUAGGUAAAAGAAUAUUUUCUUCUCUGAAUAAUAAUUAUUUUCACAGUGAAAAUUUCAGUAUUUUAUCACUAAAUGAUGAACAGUGAUAUAUAUCAAUUUCAAGGCACGUGAAAAGAAUUUUUUUAGUAUGUGCAAUUUAAUAGAGAAAGAUUUCUGCCUGUUUGGACAGUAGGUUUUGGAUAGUAAAAAUUAGGAUAAAUAAUCUUUUAUAUGCACAGAUAUUAUUGUAUUGCCUGUAAAUCGAUUUACAAGUACUUAAAGCAUGGUCCCCAGUGAGGCCAAGAAAGUUUCCGGUUAAGUUUUGUUUUUUGUUUGUUUGUUUUUUUAAUUCUAUGUUUUCUCUUAUUUAAAAAAAAUCAAAAUCAAAAACAAAAAACAAAACAAAACAAAAAACCAAAAAAAAAAAACAAAACAAAACCCACAAACAAACAGAAAGUCAUUUUGAAUAAAACAUUUUUCUUAUCUUGAGGCUUUGCCAGUUGAUGGUGGAAAACUAUGCUCAGGAAUUAUUUCAAGUAUUUGCCAAAAAUCAGUAAUAAGAUUAGCUAUUAAUAAGUUAGCGAUAUCGCUGUUUGCUUUACUCUUUAAGGAUGCCAUUGAUAGAUUAAUUUGUCCCUUCUGUACUUAGCAAUGAUAGCUUGUUUCCCUAGUUGGAUUCUUUAGCAUAUUCUACACAUUUCUGUGUAAUCUGUGAAGUGCAAUACUACGUCAGUAAGUUACAUUUUAGAUGAUGCUCAUGUGACAGGACCCCCAAUCAGUGGCUUAUAGGACUUAAAAUUUUGUGUAUUUAUUUUUAAAACAUUGGCUGAAAGGCAUGAGAAAUACAGGAUUUGGUCUGGGGACUUUUGGAAAACAAUGAGUCUCUUAGUGAUGGUCAGUGUCUUCAGGUCACUAAAAUAAAUUUAAAAUCUACAAAAGCUGCUCUCCCUUCCCAAGGCGCCUGUUUUGCUCCCACUCCCACCUAGUUUGAGCCUGAGCCUGCUGCUACCAACUCCCCGAUAACACAGCUAUACUUGCAGCAGUUUAGACGUGGAUUAAAAUUGCUUGUCUGUUUCCCCCACCACACAAAACUGGUUCUUCUGAUGCCAGCAGAACAUUUGUGAUGAGCUUUAUCCACAAAUGCAACCGGAAACUUCGAAGCCAAAAUAUGAUGUGCUAUGGGGCUUUUCCUUCCUUCCUUCCUUCCUUCCUUCCUUCCUUCCUUCCUUCCUUCCUUCCUUCCUUUCUUCCUUCCUUCCUUCCUUCCUUCUUUUCUCUCUUUUUUCUUCCCCCAACCACAUGAAAUUUCUUUUAUUCACGAAAGCUGCCAUGUUUCAACAUUUACUGAUACAGCUGCUUUGAGAAAAUCCUAUUUAAUUAUUGUGUCUAAAACGAAACUGUUGCCUCUUGGGGAUCUUAAAACCUAAAUAAAGGGCUCUGAUAGGCUUCUAGGAGUUGGCUUGGAAGCGGUCCUUGGGCUCACAGGUUACCAUUGUCUAGGGAGGUCUGAGCUGUUUUCAGGUUUAGGAAUAGCACAGUGUCGUCUUGUCUUUGGUUGCAGUCUCAUUUGGCUCCGUCUCUUGCACUACCAGAGUUCUUAGCACAACAGUGGAACACUGAGUGAUGCAAGGCAGUGUAGAUUAACAUCUUACAGGAGAAAUUGUGCCCUUAGUGUUAACGAUGUGCCUUUUGUUCUGAAUGCCAUGUUGUAGGGCAUGCAUCUUUUGGCCUCUUUAACUCUUUGAACUAGAGGUAGUAAUGAUGGAAGCCACCUCUGCAAAGAUAACAUCUGUCUUAAAUAUCUAGAUUUAUAGGCCUUAAUAGAAACCAUAAGGCGUGAAUCGUCCUUGGGCGCUGAGCAAGAUAACCAUCGGUUAGUUACAUCAGGAAUCCCUGUGUUUAAAGGGUUAAAGAUGGUCUUUGUUGUAUCUGAACAUCAGACUGAUUUUUUAAAUGAUAUUUUUUUUGUUAUGGUAACACUAGACAAAAAUCAACUGUAUUUGUAAAAAUUUACCUCAAACCAUUUAUUUUAUAGUGUGAUUAAUCCCAGGGCAUUUGGUAUGAACCAAAGUGCAUUCCUUUUUUUAUGUGCCUGGCUCUAGUGAGGAUGGCCAGGGAUUUUUACAAUUUGGGUGCAAGGCACUUAAGCCACUUUUAAACUUACUGGGUGGUGUGGAGUCAUGUCAAGUGGCCCCAUCAGAAUGUUAAAAAAAAUUUAGGCAUCGGUAGCAUUGGGCCAUAUUGGAAUCUUAAAAAACAUGAAUUAUUUUAAAGAGAACAUUCAUUUUUGUAAUUUUUUUCAUCAAGACUAUUUCUGGUAAGCAGAAGAUUUUUAAAUACAAACCAACUGAUUUGGCUGGUGAAGGUUUUAAUAUUGCCCAACACAAUGCUGUGGUAGCGCUUAGAAGCAAAAGUAUUUGUGGACUCUGUUUUUAGGGGCUGUGCAUCUCUGAUAUGGACACAUAUAAUUCAUUGUAAUUAUACCCAGCUCAACUGGUACAGUUAUGUCUAGGCCGUGGCUUGGGUUUUUAUCGAGCAACAACUUAGACAACGUGACUGUAAUCAUGCUGCAACUGUGUGUACUGAACAUAUGUGAAAAUGGUUGAAUGUGGACUGUGUAUAUAUGUAUGUACAAACUUCUGUGAGAUGCUGCUGUCGCCACUUGACAUGAAAAGUGUUCUAGUGGGUUGGAAUCCUAGUGGCCAGUUCUAUGAUACUGUAUGUAUUGUACAGCUGAUGACGGGGUAAGACUGUUUAGUGAAUAUUUGUUAAAUUUUAUUGUUGUGGCCAGAGAUAAUUUCAGAAUAAAAUUUUAAUGUCCUACCUUAA
Microtus ochrogaster (prairie vole) is the source of this 5910-nucleotide RNA transcript. It is a transcript of the gene named dual specificity tyrosine phosphorylation regulated kinase 2, with no coding region annotated. Lineage: Eukaryota; Metazoa; Chordata; Mammalia; Rodentia; Cricetidae. The record is from RefSeq and is a predicted model, not a curated record. The transcript has 4 exons.